Long non-coding RNA from Benincasa hispida (wax gourd), 678 nucleotides. RefSeq lists it as uncharacterized. The record is from RefSeq and is a predicted model, not a curated record. Lineage: Eukaryota; Viridiplantae; Streptophyta; Magnoliopsida; Cucurbitales; Cucurbitaceae.
GGGACUUCGAAUUGCGUGCAAAGGAAAAAAAGAAUCUCUCUUUCUUUUCCCUUCUUCUUCCUCCUCCAGUCGCACGUCUCCCCUCACUGUGCAGUCGCUGCCGCCUUCUUCUUUUUCGACAAACCUUCCACUUCCAGCCGCGCUCAUCGAUCGCCUUUUCUUCCCCGUCCGCCGCUCGAUUGUAGGUUCUGAUUAUUUCAACUGCGUAGAACUUCGACCGCCUCCAGCCGCUCGACCAUGGGUCUCCAGCCCCGCAAGAUUCCAGUCGUUCCAGUCGCGUCGUGGGCUUCCAGCCGCGCCGAGUUAUUCAAUCGUUUUCUUCCGUCUCCAUUCUCCAUCCGCUAGCCGUCGAUUAAACCCCAAGCGUCGCCCGCCUGUCGUCGGUUCUGGUCGCCGUUGGAUCGCGGCAGUUCCAGCUGAUCUGUCUGUUGAGGAAUUGUGGCAGUGAAGGAGUUUUUUUAGCAGAGUGAGGGUUCGUUUUGGGACAGUUUGUUAUCCUAAGGUAAGGGUAAUGACAGACCGGUGCAUGACAAGAGAGAUCAGUGACCAUUAGGACCUUUCGCACUUAAUAUCAUGUUUUUUUUUUUUGGAGUCUGAUUUAGGAGUUAGGUGUCUUAAACUCUCGUGCAAAAUUUAUUAAUUUUAUUAUUUGACUAUUUAAUAGUUUUCACUUUUAAA